CUGAUGCGGUUGGAUCCACUAGACCGCCUCGGACUUAAUCAUUUGGUUAUUUUUGCUUUUGAGUCCUUGAUGUUAAUUUUAUUUCAGCAUAGCCUUGCUCGGGUUAGCCGACUUGGCCUUUAUUAGAGUCGCUUUGGGUUUAGUUGUUUCUUGAAUUCAAUUAGAUCAAGUCAAGUUAAGGGGUCAGGUAGCCACCUAUAAAUAGAUGUGGUGAGCACCUAUUUCAGUAUGCAAAAAUUAAUUGAAAGACUUUUGCCCUAGCUCUUUUCCCUUCUCUCUUCUCUUCUUGCGACGCCUUCCCCCUCUCCCUAGGCCGCCGUCCAAGGCCGCCGCCCCCUCCUUCAUCCGGCUGCACCACCUCUGUCCCGAGAGGCCAGCCACCUCCUC
RNAcentral lists this long non-coding RNA (387 nucleotides) under Phoenix dactylifera (date palm). RNAcentral's name for it is "long non-coding RNA (PDAC_LNC003993)". Lineage: Eukaryota; Viridiplantae; Streptophyta; Magnoliopsida; Arecales; Arecaceae. The record is from RNAcentral.